Non-coding RNA from Myotis lucifugus (little brown bat), 75 nucleotides. NCBI's taxonomy places the organism in Eukaryota, Metazoa, Chordata, Mammalia, Chiroptera, Vespertilionidae. The record is from Rfam.
CAGGGGAGGGGGAUGGUCCCUCAGCCCAGAUUGCAAGAGGGUGCAGGCCAGGCCAAGGGACCCCACUGGUGCACA